AGUGAACGCUGGCGGUAGGCCUAACACAUGCAAGUCGAACGGCAGCACAGUAAGAGCUUGCUCUUACGGGUGGCGAGUGGCGGACGGGUGAGGAAUACAUCGGAAUCUACUUUUUCGUGGGGGAUAACGUAGGGAAACUUACGCUAAUACCUCAUACGACCUACGGGUGAAAGCAGGGGAUCUUCGGACCUUGCGCGAUUGAAUGAGCCGAUGUCGGAUUAGCUAGUUGGCGGGGUAAAGGCCCACCAAGGCGACGAUCCGUAGCUGGUCUGAGAGGAUGAUCGCCCACACUGGAACUGAGACACGGUCCAGACUCCUACGGGAGGCAGCAGUGGGGAAUAUUGGACAAUGGGCGCAAGCCUGAUCCAGCCAUACCGCGUGGGUGAAGAAGGCCUUCGGGUUGUAAAGCCCUUUUGUUGGGAAAGAAAAGCAGCAGGUUAAUACCCCGCUGUUCUGACGGUACCCAAAGAAUAAGCACCGGCUAACUUCGUG
Molecule: ribosomal RNA, 492 nt
Filed under: uncultured bacterium
Lineage: Bacteria
Description: partial 16S ribosomal RNA
Rfam family: Bacterial small subunit ribosomal RNA
Source: RNAcentral